UUUCCGUAGGUGAACCUGCGGAAGGAUCAUUACUGAGUGAGGGCCCCUCGGGGUCCAACCUCCCACCCGUGUUUAACGAGCCUUGUUGCUUCGGCGGUCCCGCCUCACGGCCGCCGGGGGGCAUCUGCCCCCGGGCCGGCGCCCGCCGAAGCCACCUGUGAACGCUGUCUGAAGUAUGCAGUCUGAGACAAUUAUUAAAUUAAUUAAAACUUUCAACAACGGAUCUCUUGGUUCCG
This 236-nucleotide unclassified non-coding RNA is filed under the name plant metagenome. RNAcentral's name for it is "partial contains small subunit ribosomal RNA, internal transcribed spacer 1, and 5.8S ribosomal RNA". The record is from RNAcentral.